This 107-nucleotide small nucleolar RNA is filed under the name Gossypium arboreum. RNAcentral describes it as "Plant small nucleolar RNA R71". It matches the Rfam family "Plant small nucleolar RNA R71". Rfam says of the family: R71 is a member of the C/D box family of snoRNAs containing the C (UGAUGA) and D (CUGA) box motifs. Multiple nearly identical copies of this snoRNA have been identified in Arabidopsis, and it is thought to function as a 2'-O-ribose methylation guide for 18S ribosomal RNA. The record is from Rfam by way of RNAcentral. Lineage: Eukaryota; Viridiplantae; Streptophyta; Magnoliopsida; Malvales; Malvaceae. RNAcentral also lists the same sequence under 1 other name.
AUCCCAUGAUGAGUACACUUACGAAGUAACUCCUUGAAUCGCUCCCAAGCCUCAUACAAAGACUCGUCAUCCAAUUGUUGGAAAUUUGUGAUCUCAGUCCUCAACUU